CGAGGGCUUAACUGUCUCCCUUUUCAAGUCAGUGAAAUUGAUCUGCCCGUGCAGAAGCGGACAUAACCAUACAAGACGAGAAGACCCUAUGGAGCUUAAGGCAUAAAAUUCAACCACGUCAAAUAACUCUAUAAAAAGCUAUUAAACCUUAUGGUAAAUGAAAUCAUGCCUUCGGUUGGGGCGACCAUGGAGGAAAGAAAAGCCUCCAAGUGGACUGGGAUAUAUUCCUAAAACCAAGAAAGACAUUUCUAAGCCACAGAACAUCUGACCAAUAAUGAUCCGGCUUAUGCAGCCGAUCAACGAACCAAGUUACCCAAGGGAUAACAGCGCAAUCCUCUCCCAGAGUCCAUAUCGACGAGGGGGUUUACGACCUCGAUGUUGGAUCAGGACAUCCUAAUGGUGCAGCC
RNAcentral lists this ribosomal RNA (407 nucleotides) under Puntius chola (swamp barb). RNAcentral's name for it is "partial 16S ribosomal RNA". It matches the Rfam family "Bacterial large subunit ribosomal RNA", at positions 2005 to 2560 of the family's 2925-position model. Lineage: Eukaryota; Metazoa; Chordata; Actinopteri; Cypriniformes; Cyprinidae. The record is from RNAcentral.